Molecule: unclassified non-coding RNA, 353 nt
Filed under: fungal sp.
Lineage: Eukaryota; Fungi
Description: partial internal transcribed spacer region
Source: RNAcentral
AAGUCGUAACAAGGUUUCCGUAGGUGAACCUGCGCGUAUCCAACGUAAAAAACCCCCCUGUGAACAUUCAAACCUGCUCUCGUAGCCCAGUGCGAUCCAGCAAUCCCGGUAAAUCAACAGUAUUGAUUCGGGACUUCUGACAAAUGAGAAGUUACAGUUACGAUGCUGCAUGGCAUCCCGAAGCAGUCAGUGUCUGAAAGUGUCAUUGAUUGUCUAAGGAUCUCGCCUCAACGAUUGCCAGAGGUCACCGACCGGCAGACAUGCAACCGGGUCCCCACGCCCCUUUACAACCCGCGGGAAACUAGCGGCUAAAAAGCCUAGAACAACUGUUAACAAUGGAUAUCUUGGUUCUC